AACGAACGCUGGCGGCAUGCCUAACACAUGCAAGUCGAACGAGACCUUCGGGUCUAGUGGCGCACGGGUGCGUAACGCGUGGGAACCUGCCCUUAGGUUCGGAAUAACUCCCCGAAAGGGGUGCUAAUACCGGAUAAUGUCUUCGGACCAAAGAUUUAUCGUCUUUGGAUGGGCCCGCGUUGGAUUAGCUAGUUGGUAGGGUAAGAGCCUACCAAGGCGAGGAUCCAUAGCUGGUCUGAGAGGAUGAUCAGCCACACUGGGACUGAGACACGGCCCAGAAUCCUACGGGAGGCAGCAGUGGGGAAUAUUGGACAAUGGGCGAAAGCCUGAUCCAGCAAUGCCGCGUGAGUGAUGAAGGCCUUAGGGUUGGAAAGCUCUUUUACCCGGGAUGAUAAUGACGGUACCGGGAGAAUAAGCACCGGCUAACUCCGUG
RNAcentral lists this ribosomal RNA (433 nucleotides) under uncultured bacterium. Its description in RNAcentral is "partial 16S ribosomal RNA". It matches the Rfam family "Bacterial small subunit ribosomal RNA", at positions 29 to 507 of the family's 1533-position model. The record is from RNAcentral.